This 756-nucleotide ribosomal RNA is filed under the name uncultured bacterium. RNAcentral describes it as "bacterial SSU rRNA". It matches the Rfam family "Bacterial small subunit ribosomal RNA", at positions 28 to 776 of the family's 1533-position model. The record is from RNAcentral.
AUUGAACGCUGGCGGCAGGCUUAACACAUGCAAGUCGAACGGUAACGGGUUGAAAGCUUGCUUUCAAUGCUGACGAGUGGCGGACGGGUGAGUAAGGCUUGGGGAUCUGGCUUUUGGAGGGGGAUAACCAUUGGAAACGAUGGCUAAUACCGCAUAGUAUCGAGAGAUGAAAGGGGUGGGAAACCACUUGCCAAGGGAUGAACCCAAGUGAGAUUAGGUAGUUGGUGGGGUAAGGGCCUACCAAGCCGACGAUCUCUAGCUGGUCUGAGAGGAUGGCCAGCCACACUGGGACUGAGACACGGCCCAGACUCCUACGGGAGGCAGCAGUGGGGAAUAUUGCGCAAUGGGGGGAACCCUGACGCAGCCAUGCCGCGUGAAUGAAGAAGGCCUUCGGGUUGUAAAGUUCUUUCGGUGGUGAGGAAGGUGGUAGUGUUAAUAGCGCUAUUGUUUGACGUUAGCUACAGAAGAAGCACCGGCUAACUCCGUGCCAGCAGCCGCGGUAAUACGGAGGGUGCGAGCGUUAAUCGGAAUAACUGGGCGUAAAGGGCACGCAGGCGGGACGUUAAGUGAGAUGUGAAAGCCCCGGGCUUAACCUGGGAACAGCAUUUCAUACUGGCGUACUAGAGUACUUUAGGGAGGGGUAGAAUUCCACGUGUAGCGGUGAAAUGCGUAGAGAUGUGGAGGAAUACCGAAGGCGAAGGCAGCCCCUUGGGAAGAUACUGACGCUCAUGUGCGANAGCGUGNGGAGCANACAGG